This 230-nucleotide long non-coding RNA is filed under the name Nicotiana benthamiana. RNAcentral's name for it is "long non-coding RNA (NBEN_LNC003860)". The record is from RNAcentral. Lineage: Eukaryota; Viridiplantae; Streptophyta; Magnoliopsida; Solanales; Solanaceae.
AUAAUGAAGAGAUUAUAUUCCUUAAGGAAACAUAGUUUUUUGUUGAGCUCGGAACUUUUUCUUACUGUUUUAUGUUUUCACAUUUUUAGUUAGAACACGGGAAUAACAUAUCAUUCCCUCCUCCUCGUACUUUUGAUUUAUGACGAUGUUUUUAUUGAUUUUUGAUGUAUAAAUCUAGUGGUUGUACAUAGAUUUAGUGUUAAUUUAGUGUUAAUUAAUUUUUUAUAGCU